Molecule: ribosomal RNA, 434 nt
Filed under: uncultured Lachnospiraceae bacterium
Lineage: Bacteria; Bacillati; Bacillota; Clostridia; Lachnospirales; Lachnospiraceae
Description: partial 16S ribosomal RNA
Rfam family: Bacterial small subunit ribosomal RNA
Source: RNAcentral
ACGGGAGGCAGCAGUGGGGAAUAUUGGACAAUGGGGGAAACCCUGAUCCAGCGACGCCGCGUGAGUGAAGAAGUAUUUCGGUAUGUAAAGCUCUAUCAGCAGGGAAGAUAAUGACGGUACCUGACUAAGAAGCCCCGGCUAACUACGUGCCAGCAGCCGCGGUAAUACGUAGGGGGCAAGCGUUAUCCGGAUUUACUGGGUGUAAAGGGAGCGUAGACGGCAUGGCAAGUCUGAUGUGAAAGCCCGGGGCUCAACCCCGGGACUGCAUUGGAAACUGUUAAGCUAGAGUGCAGGAGAGGUAAGUGGAAUUCCUAGUGUAGCGGUGAAAUGCGUAGAUAUUAGGAAGAACACCAGUGGCGAAGGCGACUUACUGGGCUGCAACUGACACUGAGGCACGAAAGCGUGGGGAGCAAACAGGAUUAGAUACCCUGGUA